RNAcentral lists this ribosomal RNA (1169 nucleotides) under Escherichia coli. RNAcentral's name for it is "bacterial LSU rRNA". It matches the Rfam family "Bacterial large subunit ribosomal RNA", at positions 1762 to 2925 of the family's 2925-position model. Lineage: Bacteria; Pseudomonadati; Pseudomonadota; Gammaproteobacteria; Enterobacterales; Enterobacteriaceae. The record is from RNAcentral.
UGGAGCUGAAAUCAGUCGAAGAUACCAGCUGGCUGCAACUGUUUAUUAAAAACACAGCACUGUGCAAACACGAAAGUGGACGUAUACGGUGUGACGCCUGCCCGGUGCCGGAAGGUUAAUUGAUGGGGUCAGCGCAAGCGAAGCUCUUGAUCGAAGCCCCGGUAAACGGCGGCCGUAACUAUAACGGUCCUAAGGUAGCGAAAUUCCUUGUCGGGUAAGUUCCGACCUGCACGAAUGGCGUAAUGAUGGCCAGGCUGUCUCCACCCGAGACUCAGUGAAAUUGAACUCGCUGUGAAGAUGCAGUGUACCCGCGGCAAGACGGAAAGACCCCGUGAACCUUUACUAUAGCUUGACACUGAACAUUGAGCCUUGAUGUGUAGGAUAGGUGGGAGGCUUAGAAGUGUGGACGCCAGUCUGCAUGGAGCCGGCCUUGAAAUACCACCCUUUAAUGUUUGAUGUUCUAACGUGGACCCGUAAUCCGGGUUGCGGACAGUGUCUGGUGGGUAGUUUGACUGGGGCGGUCUCCUCCUAAAGAGUAACGGAGGAGCACGAAGGUUGGCUAAUCCUGGUCGGACAUCAGGAGGUUAGUGCAAUGGCAUAAGCCAGCUUGACUGCGAGCGUGACGGCGCGAGCAGGUGCGAAAGCAGGUCAUAGUGAUCCGGUGGUUCUGAAUGGAAGGGCCAUCGCUCAACGGAUAAAAGGUACUCCGGGGAUAACAGGCUGAUACCGCCCAAGAGUUCAUAUCGACGGCGGUGUUUGGCACCUCGAUGUCGGCUCAUCACAUCCUGGGGCUGAAGUAGGUCCCAAGGGUAUGGCUGUUCGCCAUUUAAAGUGGUACGCGAGCUGGGUUUAGAACGUCGUGAGACAGUUCGGUCCCUAUCUGCCGUGGGCGCUGGAGAACUGAGGGGGGCUGCUCCUAGUACGAGAGGACCGGAGUGGACGCAUCACUGGUGUUCGGGUUGUCAUGCCAAUGGCACUGCCCGGUAGCUAAAUGCGGAAGAGAUAAGUGCUGAAAGCAUCUAAGCACGAAACUUGCCCCGAGAUGAGUUCUCCCUGACCCUUUAAGGGUCCUGAAGGAACGUUGAAGACGACGACGUUGAUAGGCCGGGUGUGUAAGCGCAGCGAUGCGUUGAGCUAACCGGUACUAAUGAACCGUGAGGCUUAACCUU